RNAcentral lists this ribosomal RNA (253 nucleotides) under uncultured bacterium. RNAcentral's name for it is "partial 16S ribosomal RNA". It matches the Rfam family "Bacterial small subunit ribosomal RNA", at positions 524 to 776 of the family's 1533-position model. The record is from RNAcentral.
UACGUAGGGUGCGAGCGUUAACCGGAAUUACUGGGCGUAAAGCGUGCGCAGGCGGUCUGUUAAGACAGGUGUGAAAUCCCCGGGCUCAACCUGGGAACUGCAUUUGUGACUGCACAGCUUGAGUGCGGCAGAGGGGGAUGGAAUUCCGCGUGUAGCAGUGAAAUGCGUAGAUAUGCGGAGGAACACCGAUGGCGAAGGCGAUCCCCUGGGCCUGCACUGACGCUCAUGCACGAAAGCGUGGGGAGCAAACAGG